GUAAGGAAUAUUGCGCAAUGGGCGAAAGCCUGACGCAGCGACGCCGCGUGGGGGAUGAAGGUCUUCGGAUUGUAAACCCCUUUCGGGAGGGAAGAUGGAGCGAGCAAUCGUUCGGACGGUACCUCCAGAAGCAGCCACGGCCAACUUCGUGCCAGCAGCCGCGGUAAUACGAAGGUGGCAAGCGUUGUUCGGAUUCACUGGGCGUACAGGGUGUGUAGGCGGUUUGGUAAGCCUUCUGUUAAAGCUUCGGGCCCAACCCGGAAAGCGCAGAGGGUACUGCCAGGCUAGAGGGUGGGAGAGGAGCGCGGAAUUCCCGGUGUAGCGGUGAAAUGCGUAGAGAUCGGGAGGAAGGCCGGUGGCGAAGGCGGCGCUCUGGAACAUACCUGACGCUGAGACACGAAAGCGUGGGGAGCAAACAGGAUUAGAAACCCCAGUAGUCC
RNAcentral lists this ribosomal RNA (440 nucleotides) under uncultured bacterium. RNAcentral's name for it is "bacterial SSU rRNA". It matches the Rfam family "Bacterial small subunit ribosomal RNA", at positions 354 to 796 of the family's 1533-position model. The record is from RNAcentral.